Molecule: ribosomal RNA, 1325 nt
Filed under: metagenome
Description: bacterial LSU rRNA
Rfam family: Bacterial large subunit ribosomal RNA
Source: RNAcentral
AGUGGAUGGGGAGCAACCUAGUUGUGCGUGUGUAAAGGUAGUGCCAAGAAAAGCGAUGAUCAUGUUGAAAAUCAAUUCCCGGUACCCGAAACCGACACAGGUGGGCAAGUAGAGAAUACUAAGGGGCGCGAGGUAACUCUCUCCAAGGAACUCGGCAAAAUGACCCCGUAACUUAGGGAGAAGGGGUGCCACCGAGAGGUGGUCGCAGUGAAGAGGCCCAGGCGACUGUUUAGCAAAAACAUAGGUCUCUGCAAACUCGAAAGAGGAGGUAUAGGGGCUGACGCCUGCCCAGUGCCGGAAGGUUAAAGAAGUUGGUCAGUUUUAGGAUGAAGCUAGCGACUGAAGCCCCGGUGAACGGCGGCCGUAACUACAACGGUCCUAAGGUAGCGAAACUCCUUGUCGGGUAAGUUCCGACCCGCACGAAAGGCGUAACGAUCUGGGCGCUGUCUCGGAGAGAGGCUCGGCGAAAUAGGAUUGUCUGUGAAGAUACGGACUACCUGCAUUUGGACAGAAAGACCCUAUGAAGCUUUACUAUAGCUUGGAAUUGUGUUCGGGCUUCCUGUGCGCAGGAUAGGUGGGAGGCGUAGAAGGUAUUCUUGUGGGGAUACUGGAGCCAACGGUGAGAUACCACUCUCAGGAGGCUAGAAUUCUAACUUAAUUAAGGACAGUUUCAGGUGGGUAGUUUGACUGGGGCGGUCGCCUCCAAAAAGGUAACGGAGGCGUACAAAGGUUCCCUCAGACUGGUUGGAAAUCAGUCGAAGAGUGCAAAGGCAGAAGGGAGCUUGACUGCGAGAAGUACAGUUCGAGCAGGGUGGAAACACGGUCUUAGUGAUCCGACGGUGCUGUGUGGAAGGGCCGUCGCUCAACGGAUAAAAGUUACUCUAGGAUAACAGGCUGAUCUCCCCCAAGAGUUCACAUCGACGGGGAGGUUUGGCACCUCGAUGUCGGCUCAUCGCAACCUGGGUCGGAAGUACGUCCCAAGGGUUGGGCUGUUCGCCCAUUAAAGCGGUACGUGAGCUGGGUUCAGAACGUCGUGAGACAGUUCGGUCCAUAUCCGAUGUAGGCGUGAGAAUAUUGAGAGGAGCCUUCCUUAGUACGAGAGGACCGGGAAGGACGCACCGCUGGUGUACCUGUUAUGAUGCCAAUUGUAAACGCAGGGUAGCCAAGUGCGGAGAGGAUAACCGCUGAAAGCAUCUAAGUGGGAAGCCCACCUCAAGAUGAGUAUUCUGGUGUAAGGUCACGGGAAGACGACCCGUAAAUAGGCACGAGGUGGAAGUGCAGAGAUGUAUGAAGCCGAAGUGUACUAAUAGACCGUCGGCUUGACC